CCGGCGAUGUCCGAAUGGGGAAACCCAGUGCAAUUCGUUGCACUAUCGUUAACUGAAUACAUAGGUUAACGAGGCGAACCGGGGGAACUGAAACAUCUAAGUACCCCGAGGAAAAGAAAUCAACCGAGAUUCCCCCAGUAGCGGCGAGCGAACGGGGAGCAGCCCAGAGUCUGAAUCAGCUUGUGUGUUAGUGGAACGGUCUGGAAAGUCCGACGGUACAGGGUGAUAGUCCCGUACACCAAAAUGCACAGGUUGUGAACUCGAAGAGUAGGGCGGGACACGUGGUAUCCUGUCUGAAUAUGGGGGGACCAUCCUCCAAGGCUAAAUACUCCUGACUGACCGAUAGUGAACCAGUACCGUGAGGGAAAGGCGAAAAGAACCCCGGCGAGGGGAGUGAAAAAGAACCUGAAACCGUGUACGUACAAGCAGUGGGAGCACCUUCGGGUGUGACUGCGUACCUUUUGUAUAAUGGGUCAGCGACUUAUAUUCUGUAGCAAGGUUAACCGUAUAGGGGAGCCGCAGGGAAACCGAGUCUUAACUGGGCGUUAAGUUGCAGGGUAUAGACCCGAAACCCGGUGAUCUAGCCAUGGGCAGGUUGAAGGUUGGGUAACACUAACUGGAGGACCGAACCGACUAAUGUUGAAAAAUUAGCGGAUGACUUGUGGCUGGGGGUGAAAGGCCAAUCAAACCGGGAGAUAGCUGGUUCUCCCCGAAAGCUAUUUAGGUAGCGCCUCGUGAACUCAUCUUCGGGGGUAGAGCACUGUUUCGGCUAGGGGGUCAUCCCGACUUACCAACCCGAUGCAAACUACGAAUACCGAAGAAUGUUAUCACGGGAGACACACGGCGGGUGCUAACGUCCGUCGUGAAGAGGGAAACAACCCAGACCGCCAGCUAAGGUCCCAAAGUCAUGGUUAAGUGGGAAACGAUGUGGGAAGGCACAGACAGCCAGGAUGUUGGCUUAGAAGCAGCCAUCAUUUAAAGAAAGCGUAAUAGCUCACUGGUCGAGUCGGCCUGCGCGGAAGAUGUAACGGGGCUAAACCAUGCACCGAAGCUGCGGCAGCGACACUAUGUGUUGUUGGGUAGGGGAGCGUUCUGUAAGCCUGCGAAGGUGACCUGUGAGGGUUGCUGGAGGUAUCAGAAGUGCGAAUGCUGACAUAAGUAACGAUAAAGCGGGUGAAAAGCCCGCUCGCCGGAAGACCAAGGGUUCCUGUCCAACGUUAAUCGGGGCAGGGUGAGUCGACCCCUAAGGCGAGGCCGAAAGGCGUAGUCGAUGGGAAACAGGUUAAUAUUCCUGUACUUGGUGUUACUGCGAAGGGGGGACGGAGAAGGCUAUGUUAGCCGGGCGACGGUUGUCCCGGUUUAAGCAUGUAGGCUGGUUAUCCAGGCAAAUCCGGAUAAUCAAGGCUGAGGUGUGAUGACGAGGCACUACGGUGCUGAAGUAACAAAUGCCCUGCUUCCAGGAAAAGCCUCUAAGCAUCAGGUAACAUCAAAUCGUACCCCAAACCGACACAGGUGGUCAGGUAGAGAAUACCAAGGCGCUUGAGAGAACUCGGGUGAAGGAACUAGGCAAAAUGGUGCCGUAACUUCGGGAGAAGGCACGCUGGUGUGUAGGUGAAGUCCCUGCGGAUGGAGCUGAGACCAGUCGAAGAUACCAGCUGGCUGCAACUGUUUAUUAAAAACACAGCACUGUGCAAACACGAAAGUGGACGUAUACGGUGUGACGCCUGCCCGGUGCCGGAAGGUUAAUUGAUGGGGUUAUCCGUAAGGAGAAGCUCUUGAUCGAAGCCCCGGUAAACGGCGGCCGUAACUAUAACGGUCCUAAGGUAGCGAAAUUCCUUGUCGGGUAAGUUCCGACCUGCACGAAUGGCGUAAUGAUGGCCAGGCUGUCUCCACCCGAGACUCAGUGAAAUUGAACUCGCUGUGAAGAUGCAGUGUACCCGCGGCAAGACGGAAAGACCCCGUGAACCUUUACUAUAGCUUGACACUGAACAUUGAGCCUUGAUGUGUAGGAUAGGUGGGAGGCUUUGAAGCGUGGACGCCAGUCUGCGUGGAGCCAACCUUGAAAUACCACCCUUUAAUGUUUGAUGUUCUAACGUUGGCCCCUUACCGGGGUUGCGGACAGUGUCUGGUGGGUAGUUUGACUGGGGCGGUCUCCUCCCAAAGCGUAACGGAGGAGCACGAAGGUUAGCUAAUCCUGGUCGGACAUCAGGAGGUUAGUGCAAUGGCAUAAGCUAGCUUGACUGCGAGCGUGACGGCGCGAGCAGGUGCGAAAGCAGGUCAUAGUGAUCCGGUGGUUCUGAAUGGAAGGGCCAUCGCUCAACGGAUAAAAGGUACUCCGGGGAUAACAGGCUGAUACCGCCCAAGAGUUCAUAUCGACGGCGGUGUUUGGCACCUCGAUGUCGGCUCAUCACAUCCUGGGGCUGAAGUAGGUCCCAAGGGUAUGGCUGUUCGCCAUUUAAAGUGGUACGCGAGCUGGGUUUAGAACGUCGUGAGACAGUUCGGUCCCUAUCUGCCGUGGGCGCUGGAGAAUUGAGGGGGGCUGCUCCUAGUACGAGAGGACCGGAGUGGACGCAUCACUGGUGUUCGGGUUGUCAUGCCAAUGGCACUGCCCGGUAGCUAAAUGCGGAAGAGAUAAGUGCUGAAAGCAUCUAAGCACGAAACUUGCCCCGAGAUGAGUUCUCCCUGAGACUUUAAGUCUCCUGAAGGAACGUUAAAGACGAUGACGUUGAUAGGCCGGGUGUGUAAGCGCAGCGAUGCGUUGAGCUAACCGGUACUAAUGAACCGUGAGGCUUAACCUUACAACGCCGAAG
This 2810-nucleotide ribosomal RNA is filed under the name Klebsiella pneumoniae. RNAcentral describes it as "bacterial LSU rRNA". It matches the Rfam family "Bacterial large subunit ribosomal RNA". Lineage: Bacteria; Pseudomonadati; Pseudomonadota; Gammaproteobacteria; Enterobacterales; Enterobacteriaceae. The record is from RNAcentral.